RNAcentral lists this ribosomal RNA (301 nucleotides) under uncultured bacterium. RNAcentral's name for it is "partial 16S ribosomal RNA". It matches the Rfam family "Bacterial small subunit ribosomal RNA", at positions 509 to 807 of the family's 1533-position model. The record is from RNAcentral.
CAGCCGCCGCGGGAAUACGUAGGUGGCAAACGUUGUCCGGAAUUAUUGGGCGUAAAGGGCUCGCAGGCGGUUUCUUAAGUCUGAUGUGAAAGCCCCCGGCUCAACCGGGGAGGGUCAUUGGAAACUGGGAAACUUGAGUGCAGAAGAGGAGAGUGGAAUUCCACGUGUAGCGGUGAAAUGCGUAGAGAUGUGGAGGAACACCAGUGGCGAAGGCGACUCUCUGGUCUGUAACUGACGCUGAGGAGCGAAAGCGUGGGGAGCGAACAGGAUUAGAUACCCCUGUAGUCCCUGUCUCUUAUAC